RNAcentral lists this ribosomal RNA (468 nucleotides) under uncultured bacterium. RNAcentral describes it as "partial 16S ribosomal RNA". It matches the Rfam family "Bacterial small subunit ribosomal RNA", at positions 28 to 507 of the family's 1533-position model. The record is from RNAcentral.
GACGAACGCUUUCUUCUUUCUUAACACAUGCAAGUCGAACGGAAAGGCCCUGCUUUUGUGGGGUGCUCGAGUGGCGAACGGGUGAGUAACACGUGAGUAACCUGCCCUUUACUUUGGGAUAACUUCAGGAAACUGGGGCUAAUACCGGAUAGGAGCUCCUGCUGCAUGGUGGGGGUUGGAAAGUUUCGGCGGUUGGGGAUGGACUCGCGGCUUAUCAGCUUGUUGGUGGGGUAGUGGCUUACCAAGGCUUUGACGGGUAGCCGGCCUGAGAGGGUGACCGGCCACAUUGGGACUGAGAUACGGCCCAGACUCCUACGGGAGGCAGCAGUGGGGAAUAUUGCACAAUGGGCGGAAGCCUGAUGCAGCAACGCCGCGUGCGGGAUGACGGCCUUCGGGUUGUAAACCGCUUUCGCCUGUGACGAAGCGUGAGUGACGGUAAUGGGUAAAGAAGCACCGGCUAACUACGUG